AGAGUUUGAUCCUGGCUCAGAACGAACGCUGGCGGCGUGCUUAACACAUGCAAGUCGGACGGGGCCAUAAUGAAGUAGCAAUACGGAGAUAUGGCUUAGUGGCGGACGGGUGAGUAACACGUAGGUAACCGACCCUGGAGCGGGGGACAACUCUUCGAAAGGAGAGCUAAUACCGCAUAAGACCACGAUCUGGAAGGAUUGUGGUAAAAGUAGCAAUACACUUCAGGACGGGCCUGCGGCCUAUCAGGUAGUUGGUGAGGUAACGGCCCACCAAGCCAAAGACGGGUAGCCGGACUGAGAGGUUGAACGGCCACACUGGAACUGAGACACGGUCCAGACUCCUACGGGAGGCAGCAGUGGGGAAUUUUGCGCAAUGGGGGAAACCCUGACGCAGCGACGCCGCGUGGAGGAUGAAGGUCUUCGGAUUGUAAACUCCUUUUGUAGGGAAAGAUAAUGACGGUACCCUAUGAAUAAGCCACGGCUAACUCUGUGCCAGCAGCCGCGGUAAGACAGAGGUGGCAAGCGUUGUUCGGAAUUACUGGGCUUAAAGGGCGCGUAGGUGUCCUGGCAAGUCAGAUGUGGAAUCUUUCCGCUUAACGGGAAAAUUGCAUUUGAAACUGCCGGGAUUGAGUCAGACAGGGGAUGGCGGAAUUCCUGGUGUAGCGGUGAAAUGCGUAGAUAUCAGGAGGAAGGCCUGUGGUGAAGACGGCCAUCUGGGUCUGAACUGACACUGAGGCGCGAAAGCGUGGGUAGCAAACAGGAUUAGAUACCCUGGUAGUCCACGCCCUAAACGGUGGGUA
Molecule: ribosomal RNA, 800 nt
Filed under: uncultured bacterium
Lineage: Bacteria
Description: bacterial SSU rRNA
Rfam family: Bacterial small subunit ribosomal RNA
Source: RNAcentral